UAAAGUCAAAUUAAUUGGUUAAAGCUAAUAAAUAGUUACUGUAAAGUACAACAACUCUACUUAUUACUGUAAGAGUAAAAUCUUUAUAAAUAAGAUAGGAAUGUGUUUAUGUAACAUUAAUUCUCUUACGAGGCGCUAACAUAAAGACUAGGAUUAGAUACCCUAUUAUGGGCGUGAGUAUGAAAGUUUAUUAAGUUAAUAGCCUUAAUUAAAGCAAAAUCUAUUUACUAUGGCGGCUGUUAGUCUCACCAGAGUCGUAUGUCCUUAAACGAAACUGCGCGACCAUCUUACCUUUUAACUUUUGCUUACAUAAAAUAAUUACACUAUAGCAAUCUGGCACGUCGCUGUACUAAAAGUGAAGAUUUUAAAUAACUCAUCUUCUAAUUACUUACUAACAAUUAUUAGUAACGUACAAGUCAAGACGCCGUUUUAAGAGGCUUAAGAUGUACGAUUUAAUUGGUUUGAUAGAAUUCAUAAGAAUGAAAACUUUCUUUAUUAAAAUAAUUUGGAAGUAAAAUAGGGUUAUUAUUCUUAUUUGAAAUGAGCUACUAAUAAGU
Molecule: ribosomal RNA, 557 nt
Filed under: Pediculus humanus (human louse)
Lineage: Eukaryota; Metazoa; Arthropoda; Insecta; Psocodea; Pediculidae
Description: partial 12S ribosomal RNA
Source: RNAcentral